UACGUAGGGCGCAAGCGUUGUCCGGAAUUAUUGGGCGUAAAGAGCUCGUAGGCGGCUUGUCGCGUCUGCUGUGAAAGCACGAGGCUCAACCUCGUGUCUGCAGUGGGUACGGGCAGGCUAGAGUGUGGUAGGGGAGACUGGAAUUCCUGGUGUAGCGGUGGAAUGCGCAGAUAUCAGGAGGAACACCGAUGGCGAAGGCAGGUCUCUGGGCCACUACUGACGCUGAGGAGCGAAAGCGUGGGGAG
This 245-nucleotide ribosomal RNA is filed under the name uncultured Demequina sp. RNAcentral describes it as "partial 16S ribosomal RNA". It matches the Rfam family "Bacterial small subunit ribosomal RNA", at positions 524 to 768 of the family's 1533-position model. Lineage: Bacteria; Bacillati; Actinomycetota; Actinomycetes; Micrococcales; Demequinaceae. The record is from RNAcentral.